This 205-nucleotide long non-coding RNA is filed under the name Mytilus galloprovincialis (Mediterranean mussel). The record is from RNAcentral. Lineage: Eukaryota; Metazoa; Mollusca; Bivalvia; Mytilida; Mytilidae.
CACGAAUAUCUACAUGUAGCCACAAUCCUGUAGGUGCUACUAGUGUUGAAGGAACAGAUUAACCUUCAAAUUCACCUGAGGACACCCAGUCCUAUUUUGGUUAAUGUUGCUCAUCCUGGACGUUAUCUUUUGGUCUUGAUGUUUGCUGUUUGUAGCUAGUUAUGCUUUGCUUUCCAGACUUUAGAUCUUUUAAUAAUAUAGCGGC